RNAcentral lists this ribosomal RNA (319 nucleotides) under Bacillus pumilus. RNAcentral's name for it is "bacterial SSU rRNA". It matches the Rfam family "Bacterial small subunit ribosomal RNA", at positions 37 to 346 of the family's 1533-position model. Lineage: Bacteria; Bacillati; Bacillota; Bacilli; Caryophanales; Bacillaceae. The record is from RNAcentral.
UGGGGGGGUGCCUAAUACAUGCAAGUCGAGCGGACAGAAGGGAGCUUGCUCCCGGAUGUUAGCGGCGGACGGGUGAGUAACACGUGGGUAACCUGCCUGUAAGACUGGGAUAACUCCGGGAAACCGGAGCUAAUACCGGAUAGUUCCUUGAACCGCAUGGUUCAAGGAUGAAAGACGGUUUCGGCUGUCACUUACAGAUGGACCCGCGGCGCAUUAGCUAGUUGGUGAGGUAACGGCUCACCAAGGCGACGAUGCGUAGCCGACCUGAGAGGGUGAUCGGCCACACUGGGACUGAGACACGGUCCAGACUCCUACGGGA